This is a non-coding RNA of Anas platyrhynchos (mallard), 343 nucleotides long. Lineage: Eukaryota; Metazoa; Chordata; Aves; Anseriformes; Anatidae. The record is from RefSeq and is a predicted model, not a curated record.
UAGCUGAGCUGCGUGCUUCCCCUGCCCGGCCAGCAGACGUGGUGGGGUGUGAGGGUAGGCGAUGGGGACCGUGCCUGUCCCCACACAACCCCAACCCCAGUCAGGCUCCGUGUAGGGGCAGCGCAUCCCUGCCCUGCCACCACUUCAGCCCCACCUCCCGGCCCCACAGCAGGGUUAGUGAAGGACACACGAGCCACUCGCCGCUUCAGAAACACAUUGCUGGUGGGGAACACAGGAGCAGGGGUGAGAUGCCCACAGCUGCCUGCCCACUCCGGGAGGUGGGAUGGCAUUUCCAUCUUCUCACACCAGUUUUGGACUGUGCCCAUGGGUCCAGACCCUGCCC